UACGUGGGGUGCGAGCGUUGUCCGGAAUUAUUGGGCGUAAAGAGCUCGUAGGCGGUCUGUCGCGUCGGUCGUGAAAACUUGGGGCUUAACCCUGAGCUUGCGGUCGAUACGGGCAUGACUGGAGUUCGGCAGGGGAGACUGGAAUUCCUGGUGUAGCGGUGAAAUGCGCAGAUAUCAGGAGGAACACCGGUGGCGAAGGCGGGUCUCUGGGCCGAUACUGACGCUGAGGAGCGAAAGCGUGGGGAGCGAACAGG
This 254-nucleotide ribosomal RNA is filed under the name uncultured bacterium. RNAcentral's name for it is "partial 16S ribosomal RNA". It matches the Rfam family "Bacterial small subunit ribosomal RNA", at positions 524 to 776 of the family's 1533-position model. The record is from RNAcentral.